Molecule: long non-coding RNA, 696 nt
Organism: Colias croceus (clouded yellow)
Lineage: Eukaryota; Metazoa; Arthropoda; Insecta; Lepidoptera; Pieridae
Exons: 2
Source: RefSeq, a predicted model, not a curated record
GUUUAUAUUCAUUUCGUGAGUUUGUUCUUGUAUUUUGGAAUUAUUCUGAGCCAAAAUUAAUAGAAAUGAUUGUAAAUAUAUUGUGCGCGGUUGCAAAAGUGAGUGGCAGCCAGGAUGUGAUAUUAUAUUUCAUUCGUUUCCGUCCAAUCUAGCGGAACGUAAUACAUGGCUAAAUAGCUAAAUAAUAAAUAUAGUAGAAUUAAAAAUAUCCUGUUUUGAAAAAGCGAAGAUAUUAUGCAACAUUCAUUUUAAACCCGCACUUGGACAGUGCGGUGGAUGUGGCCUGUAACCUCAUAGGAGGCCAUGUCCCAGCAGUGGGAACGUAAUAUAUACGUUACGGGAAAUAAAAUGUAUGGGAGGGUUUAAAGUUACAUUUUUAGAUAUUUCUCGUUAUAUUAAAAAAAGUUAUUAUUGUUAUUUUACUCAUUACGUAAAGUUUCAUAUCAAUGCACUUAACGAUUACACCCUGAAUAUAUUAUAUAUUUUGUUUUUUAUUGUAUGAUAGGGAAGCGCAAGACCACGAUCUCAUAUUUCAAGUACUCUUAAAAAACUAUUUAAAUACUAAAGGGUAUGGAAUAAUAAAAAUAUUUUCAGUGAACCGAUUUCGUUAUUUUUUUAUUGUUAUUGUAUCUUAUAAUUUGCAAAUUUGUAAAGGCAGUUGGCAUUGUAAUGAUAAAUAAAUAUUAUUAAAACACA